AGCUUUGCGCAGUGGCGAUAUCGUAACCGAUGAGGUUCUACCGAGGUGCGAUUAUUGCUAGUUGAAACUUUUAGUAUUUCAAUAUGUGACAAAUCGUCGAAGGAACGAUUAUAAUUCAGGAAGAAUGUCAAAAGAA
Molecule: small nuclear RNA, 136 nt
Organism: Colletes gigas
Lineage: Eukaryota; Metazoa; Arthropoda; Insecta; Hymenoptera; Colletidae
Product: U4 spliceosomal RNA
Exons: 1
Source: RefSeq, a predicted model, not a curated record